GACGGGUGAGUAAUGCCUAGGAAUCUGCCUGGUAGUGGGGGAUAACGCUCGGAAACGGACGCUAAUACCGCAUACGUCCUACGGGAGAAAGCAGGGGACCUUCGGGCCUUGCGCUAUCAGAUGAGCCUAGGUCGGAUUAGCUAGUUGGUGAGGUAAUGGCUCACCAAGGCGACGAUCCGUAACUGGUCUGAGAGGAUGAUCAGUCACACUGGAACUGAGACACGGUCCAGACUCCUACGGGAGGCAGCAGUGGGGAAUAUUGGACAAUGGGCGAAAGCCUGAUCCAGCCAUGCCGCGUGUGUGAAGAAGGUCUUCGGAUUGUAAAGCACUUUAAGUUGGGAGGAAGGGUUGUAGAUUAAUACUCUGCAAUUUUGACGUUACCGACAGAAUAAGCACCGGCUAACUCUGUGCCAGCAGCCGCGGUAAUACAGAGGGUGCAAGCGUUAAUCGGAAUUACUGGGCGUAAAGCGCGCGUAGGUGGUUCGUUAAGUUGGAUGUGAAAGCCCCGGGCUCAACCUGGGAACUGCAUUCAAAACUGUCGAGCUAGAGUAUGGUAGAGGGUGGUGGAAUUUCCUGUGUAGCGGUGAAAUGCGUAGAUAUAGGAAGGAACACCAGUGGCGAAGGCGACCACCUGGACUGAUA
RNAcentral lists this ribosomal RNA (642 nucleotides) under Pseudomonas sp. EECC-315. RNAcentral describes it as "bacterial SSU rRNA". It matches the Rfam family "Bacterial small subunit ribosomal RNA", at positions 100 to 739 of the family's 1533-position model. Lineage: Bacteria; Pseudomonadati; Pseudomonadota; Gammaproteobacteria; Pseudomonadales; Pseudomonadaceae. The record is from RNAcentral.